Molecule: long non-coding RNA, 258 nt
Filed under: Numida meleagris (helmeted guineafowl)
Lineage: Eukaryota; Metazoa; Chordata; Aves; Galliformes; Numididae
Description: lncRNA (ENSNMEG00000001569.1)
Source: RNAcentral
AUGAAGCUGGACUUUCCUGUUCAGAGUGCUCCUAGGUAUCACCAGAAGUGUCAGAAUAUACUAACUGCAGCAUGUACAGUUGUACAGAGAGAGAGAGUUUACAACAAUGCAGAAGUCUGUCUUUUACAGAGGGAGUUUUCAGUGAGCAGGCGUCAAAGCGAAACGAGAAAUGUCUUGACUUCAGGACUGUGGGAAACCAGGUAUCCAUUAGAGUGGCCAGCUGUCCCCCUUAGAUCCAGAGAUUGGCCUGUAUCCUGA